CAGUGGCGAACGGGUGAGUAACACGUGAGCAAUCUGCCCUUGACUCUGGGAUAACUGCGGGAAACUGUAGCUAAUACCGGAUAUUACCUUGGAAGGCAUCUUCUGGGGUGGAAAGAAUUUUGGUCAAGGAUGAGCUCGCGGCCUAUCAGCUAGUUGGUGAGGUAAUGGCUCACCAAGGCGACGACGGGUAGCCGGCCUGAGAGGGUGACCGGCCACACUGGGACUGAGACACGGCCCAGACUCCUACGGGAGGCAGCAGUGGGGAAUAUUGCACAAUGGGCGCAAGCCUGAUGCAGCAACGCCGCGUGAGGGACGACGGCCUUCGGGUUGUAAACCUCUUUUAGUAGGGAAGAAGCGACUGGGUUUUCCUGGGAGUGACGGUACCUGCAGAAAAAGCACCGGCUAACUACGUGCCAGCAGCCGCGGUAAUACGUAGGGUGCAAGCGUUGUCCGGAAUUAUUGGGCGUAAAGAGCUCGUAGGCGGUUUGUCGCGUCUGCUGUGAAAACCCGAGGCUCAACCUCGGGCCUGCAGUGGGUACGGGCAGACUAGAGUGCGGUAGGGGAGAUUGGAAUUCCUGGUGUAGCGGUGGAAUGCGCAGAUAUCAGGAGGAACACCAAUGGCGAAGGCAGAUCUCUGGGCCGUAACUGACGCUGAGGAGCGAAAGCAUGGGGAGCGAACAGGAUUAGAUACCCUGGUAGUCCAUGCCGUAAACGUUGGGAACUAGAUGUGGGGACCAUUCCACGGUCUCCGUGUCGCAGCUAACGCAUUAAGUUCCCCGCCUGGGGAGUACGGCCGCAAGGCUAAAACUCAAAGGAAUUGACGGGGGCCCGCACAAGCGGCGGAGCAUGCGGAUUAAUUCGAUGCAACGCGAAGAACCUUACCAAGGCUUGACAUAUACCGGUAACGCCUGGAAACAGGUGCCCCGCAAGGUCGGUAUACAGGUGGUGCAUGGUUGUCGUC
Molecule: ribosomal RNA, 961 nt
Filed under: Cryobacterium flavum
Lineage: Bacteria; Bacillati; Actinomycetota; Actinomycetes; Micrococcales; Microbacteriaceae
Description: bacterial SSU rRNA
Rfam family: Bacterial small subunit ribosomal RNA
Source: RNAcentral